UUCUUAAAGUAAUUAUUUUAAGUAGCUUCUGCUCAAUGAAAUUAAAUAGCUGCGAUUGCACUAAGGUAGCAUAAUAAAUUGUCUUUUAAUUGAAGACUGGAAUGAAGGAGGGUAUGGGUAAGAAUUUUUUUAAAAGUGAUUUUAUGAAGUUAAAUUUUUAGUAAGAAUGCUAGAAUUAUGUUUAGGGACAAGAAGACCCUAUGAAGCUUUAUAAUAAUAAAAUUGAAGAAUUUAUUUUGUUGGGGCAACACUCUAAGAACGAAGUUUAGAGAUAAUAUAAAAUUAAUUAUYAUAUUAGAGAGCCAUAAAUUAUGAUUAUUUGAAUAAGUUACUCUAGGGAUAACAGCAUUAUUUAAGUUGGAAAGUACAAAUUGAUAACUUAGUUUAUGACCUCGAUGUUGAAUUAAUAUAACAGUAAGGUGAAGGAACUUUAUUUGUUAGUCUGUUCGACUAUUUAUAUAUUACA
This 466-nucleotide ribosomal RNA is filed under the name Stylocellus sp. Sumatra 7. RNAcentral describes it as "partial 16S ribosomal RNA". It matches the Rfam family "Archaeal large subunit ribosomal RNA", at positions 1926 to 2671 of the family's 2987-position model. Lineage: Eukaryota; Metazoa; Arthropoda; Arachnida; Opiliones; Stylocellidae. The record is from RNAcentral.